RNAcentral lists this ribosomal RNA (460 nucleotides) under uncultured bacterium. Its description in RNAcentral is "partial 16S ribosomal RNA". It matches the Rfam family "Bacterial small subunit ribosomal RNA", at positions 338 to 795 of the family's 1533-position model. The record is from RNAcentral.
CCUACGGGGUGCUGCAGUGAGGAAUAUUGGUCAAUGGGCGCGAGCCUGAACCAGCCAAGUCGCGUGAGGGAAGACGGCCCUACGGGUUGUAAACCUCUUUUGCCGGGGAGCAACGGGCGCCACGUGUGGUGCCACUGAGAGUACCCGGAGAAAAAGCAUCGGCUAACUCCGUGCCAGCAGCCGCGGUAAUACGGAGGAUGCGAGCGUUAUCCGGAUUUAGUGGGUUUAAAGGGUGCGCAGGCGGGCCUUUAAGCCGGCGGUGAAAUCGCGGGGCUCAACCCCGCCGAGCCGUCGGAACUGGGGGCCUUGAGUGCGGCGGAGGCAUGCGGAAUGCGCGGUGUAGCGGUGAAAUGCAUAGAUAUCGCGCAGAACCCCGAUUGCGAAGGCAGCGUGCCGUGCCGCCACUGACGCUGAGGCACGAAAGCGCGGGGAUCGAACAGGAUUAGAUACCCUAGUAGUC